Molecule: ribosomal RNA, 570 nt
Filed under: uncultured bacterium
Lineage: Bacteria
Description: partial 16S ribosomal RNA
Rfam family: Bacterial small subunit ribosomal RNA
Source: RNAcentral
UGGGGAAUUUUGGACAAUGGGCGAAAGCCUGAUCCAGCAAUGCCGCGUGUGUGAAGAAGGCCUUCGGGUUGUAAAGCACUUUUGUCCGGAAAGAAAUCCUUGGCUCUAAUACAGUCGGGGGAUGACGGUACCGGAAGAAUAAGCACCGGCUAACUACGUGCCAGCAGCCGCGGUAAUACGUAGGGUGCAAGCGUUAAUCGGAAUUACUGGGCGUAAAGCGUGCGCAGGCGGUUUGCUAAGACCGAUGUGAAAUCCCCGGGCUAACCUGGGAACUGCAUUGGUGACUGGCAGGCUAGAGUAUGGCAGAGGGGGGUAGAAUUCCACGUGUAGCAGUGAAAUGCGUAGAGAUGUGGAGGAAUACCGAUGGCGAAGGCAGCCCCCUGGGCCAAUACUGACGCUCAUGCACGAAAGCGUGGGGAGCAAACAGGAUUAGAUACCCUGGUAGUCCACGCCCUAAACGAUGUCAACUAGUUGUUGGGGAUUCAUUUCCUUAGUAACGUAGCUAACGCGUGAAGUUGACCGCCUGGGGAGUACGGUCGCAAGAUUAAAACUCAAAGGAAUUGACGGGGU